UACGAAGGGGGCUAGCGUUGCUCGGAAUGACUGGGCGUAAAGGGCGCGUAGGCGGUUUGUUUAGUUAGGCGUGAAAUUCCUGGGCUCAACCUGGGGGCUGCGCUUAAUACAGGCAGACUAGAGUGUGAGAGAGGGUUGUGGAAUUUCCAGUGUAGAGGUGAAAUUCGUAGAUAUUGGAAAGAACACCGGUGGCGAAGGCGGCAACCUGGCUCAUUACUGACGCUGAGGCGCGAAAGCGUGGGGAGCAAACAGG
RNAcentral lists this ribosomal RNA (253 nucleotides) under uncultured bacterium. RNAcentral's name for it is "partial 16S ribosomal RNA". It matches the Rfam family "Bacterial small subunit ribosomal RNA", at positions 524 to 776 of the family's 1533-position model. The record is from RNAcentral.